Molecule: ribosomal RNA, 497 nt
Filed under: uncultured bacterium
Lineage: Bacteria
Description: partial 16S ribosomal RNA
Rfam family: Bacterial small subunit ribosomal RNA
Source: RNAcentral
GAUGAACGCUGGCGGCGUGCCUAAUACAUGCAAGUCGAGCGAAAAGACGCGGCGCUUGCUCCUCUGACGUUAGCCGAGGACGGGUGAGUAACACGUGGAUACCCUCCCUAUAAGUCUGGGAUAACUUCGGGAAACCGGAGCUAAUCGCGGAUAAGAUCUUGAACCGCAUGGUUCGAUAGUGAGAGACGGCGUUGCGGUCACUUAUCGCUGGAUCCCCGCCGCAUUAGCUGGUAGGUAAGGUAACGGGUUACCACGGGAACGAUGCGUAGCCGACGUGAGAGGGGGAUCGCCCACACGGGAACUGAGACGCGGUCAAGACGCCUAAGGGACGCAGCAGUAGGGAACCGUCCGCAAUGGGCGAGAGCCUGACGGAGCAACGCCGCGCCAGUUAAGAAGGUCCUCGGAGCGUGAAACUCUGUUUUGAGUGAAGAACAAAUGUGUAAGGAAAUAUGCACGGCUUGACGGUACCGAAUCAGAAAGCCACGGCUAACUACGUG